ACGGGGGUUGCGAGCGUUGUCCGGAAUUACUAGGCGUAAAGGGCAGGUAGGUGGAUUGAUAAGUUUUUCGGUAAAGCUGCCAGCUCAACCGGAAUACGUCGGAGGGAUACUGGCAGGCUAGGGACCGGAAGAGGUGAGAGGUACUCCAGGGGUAGGAGUGAAAUCCUGUGAUACUUGGGGGAACACCUGUGGCGAAGGCGUCUUACCAGGCCGGCACCGACAGUGAGCUGCGAAAGUUGGGGGAUCAAACAG
Molecule: ribosomal RNA, 252 nt
Filed under: uncultured prokaryote
Description: partial 16S rRNA
Rfam family: Bacterial small subunit ribosomal RNA
Source: RNAcentral